RNAcentral lists this non-coding RNA (26 nucleotides) under Xenopus tropicalis (tropical clawed frog). Lineage: Eukaryota; Metazoa; Chordata; Amphibia; Anura; Pipidae. RNAcentral also lists the same sequence under 7 other names. The record is from RNAcentral.
UGGUGGUCUAGUGGUUAGGAUUCGGC